UUCUUAGGGAAGAAUUCUGACGGUACCUAAGGAAUAAGCACCGGCUAACUCCGUGCCAGCAGCCGCGGUAAUACGGAGGGUGCAAGCGUUACUCGGAAUCACUGGGCGUAAAGGGCGCGUAGGCGGAUUAUCAAGUCUCUUGUGAAAUCUAAUGGCUUAACCAUUAAACUGCUUGGGAAACUGAUAGUCUAGAGUGAGGGAGAGGCAGAUGGAAUUGGUGGUGUAGGGGUAAAAUCCGUAGAUAUCACCAAGAAUACCCAUUGCGAAGGCGAUCUGCUGGAACUCAACUGACGCUAAGGCGCGAAAGCGUGGGGAGCAAACAGGAUUAGAUACCCUGGUAGUCCACGCCCUAAACGAUGUACACUAGUUGUUGGGGUGCUAGUCAUCUCAGUAAUGCAGCUAACGCAUUAAGUGUACCGCCUGGGGAGUACGGUCGCAAGAUUAAAACUCAAAGGAAUAGACGGGGACCCGCACAAGCGGUGGAGCAUGUGGUUUAAUUCGAAGAUACGCGAAGAACCUUACCUGGGCUUGAUAUCCUAAGAACCUUUUAGAGAUAAGAGGGUGCUAGCUUGCUAGAACUUAGAGACAGGUGCUGCACGGCUGUCGUCAGCUCGUGUCGUGAGAUGUUGGGUUAAGUCCCGCAACGAGCGCAACCCACGUAUUUAGUUGCUAACGGUUCGGCCGAGCACUCUAAAUAGACUGCCUUCGUAAGGAGGAGGAAGGUGUGGACGACGUCAAGUCAUCAUGGCCCUUAUGCCCAGGGCGACACACGUGCUACAAUGGCAUAUACAAUGAGACGCAAUACCGCGAGGUGGAGCAAAUCUAUAAAAUAUGUCCCAGUUCGGAUUGUUCUCUGCAACUCGAGAGCAUGAAGCCGGAAUCGCUAGUAAUCGUAGAUCAGCCAUGCUACGGUGAAUACGUUCCCGGGUCUUGUACUCACCGCCCGUCACACCAUGGGAGUUGAUUUCACUCGAAGCCGGAAUACUAAACUAGUUACCGUCCACAGUGGAAUCAGCGACUGGGGUGAAGUCGUAACAAGGUAACCGUAGGAGAACCUGCGGUUGGAUCACCUCCUUUCUA
RNAcentral lists this ribosomal RNA (1080 nucleotides) under Campylobacter jejuni. RNAcentral describes it as "bacterial SSU rRNA". It matches the Rfam family "Bacterial small subunit ribosomal RNA", at positions 434 to 1533 of the family's 1533-position model. Lineage: Bacteria; Pseudomonadati; Campylobacterota; Epsilonproteobacteria; Campylobacterales; Campylobacteraceae. The record is from RNAcentral.